Long non-coding RNA from Medicago truncatula (barrel medic), 1250 nucleotides. RefSeq lists it as uncharacterized. The record is from RefSeq and is a predicted model, not a curated record. NCBI's taxonomy places the organism in Eukaryota, Viridiplantae, Streptophyta, Magnoliopsida, Fabales, Fabaceae. The transcript is spliced from 3 exons.
UUGAUUUCAUGAAAUGUUUUUUACAUUUCCAAAAACGACAAAAACUAUUUAACUGGUGUAAGGAGAGAAUAAAAAUUAUAACUUAUCAAGUAAAAAAAAAACAAUUGUUUACAUAGAAAGGAAGAUGGCUGAAAUUGUCAAGUUUAUUUACGUUAUGAUAAUCUUUCUUUACCUAUUUCUUGUCUCAACAAACAUCGAAGCGCGUCAAGGAUGUAAAAUAGAUUAUGAUUGUAUAAAAGUAGUGUGUAAAGAUGGUCAUGCAGCGAGGUGUAUAAUGCGUCGAUGUGAAUGCGUGGAAAUCUUGAACCCAAUAGAUCUUGGAUCAACAUGAGUCUGCAUCUAGUGUUGGACCAAAGAGAGCACACAAACGUCCUAAUAGAAUAUUUCAUGAGUUGUAAUUUAGUUAUCGUUUUGGCACCCAAUAAUUUGAAUAUUUUUCUCUUUUAAUUUCAAAAACAUUGUAGUUAUGGUUUUAUACUCUAAUAUAAUGGUAAUGAAAUGAAAUAAGGCAGAAAAUAAUUAUAUUUAGAUUGUCUUCUUUAAUUUUCUCUUAAUUUUAAAGAUAUCAUUGUGUCCUUCAAAUCAUGCAUAUCACUUUUUCUUUCUAACCUUGCAGUUCAUACCAUGAAUAUGGAAAUAGGUUAUUGUUGGUCAGCUACGAGGUGUGGAAUAGCUCGUAAUACAUGAUAUCACACUGACUUUCCUUGGUCUGUCAAAGUGGUCGUACAAUCGGCAAUGGUAUCUGGAAAUUGGGUAUGGUGGCAGGUGAUGCUAGGGACAGUUUUGUUGUUCUUCCCAUAGGUGAUGCCACUGGUCUGAAGUGAUUAAAAAUAGAAGAGCAAAGUUUGGGAGUACAUGCAAGCACGUUGAUGCUUAAGUAAGUAUAAGAGCAAAGAGUGUGAGGCAUUCAAAGGAUAAAUAGUGUGUACAUUGUUGGUGGAAUGGUGGUGAAAAAUGCCUUUUGUUGGCUUCGGCACAGAGUUGUUGGAGAGUUUAUAAGAGGUCAUUACAAACGGUGCGUCAUCGAUGUCAAGCUCUUGCGUCAAUUACUAGUCGUUGAGGCGUUGCACAAUAGAGAAUCACAAAGUAGUCGCUCGACGAUGGGUCUAAAGCUCUUGCAUCAAUUACUAGUCGUUGAGGCGUUGCACAAUAAAGAAUCACAAAUAGUCGCUCGACAACGGGUCCAAAGCUCUUGGACCUUGGGCCAGUACAAAACAAGUCAUUUUGUCAAUGGUUUUACUUCACAAUUU